Molecule: ribosomal RNA, 494 nt
Filed under: uncultured Myroides sp.
Lineage: Bacteria; Pseudomonadati; Bacteroidota; Flavobacteriia; Flavobacteriales; Flavobacteriaceae
Description: bacterial SSU rRNA
Rfam family: Bacterial small subunit ribosomal RNA
Source: RNAcentral
GAUGAACGCUAGCGGCAGGCCUAACACAUGCAAGUCGAGGGGUAUAGGGAGCUUGCUUUCUAGAGACCGGCGGAUGGGUGAGUAACGCGUAUGCAACCUACCUUUUACAGGGGAAUAGCCCGGAGAAAUUCGGAUUAAUGCUCCAUGGUUUAUAUGAAUGGCAUCGUUUAUAUAAUAAAGAUUUAUCGGUAAAAGAUGGGCAUGCGUAUCAUUAGCUAGUUGGUGUGGUAACGGCAUACCAAGGCUACGAUGAUUAGGGGUCCUGAGAGGGGGAUCCCCCACACUGGUACUGAGACACGGACCAGACUCCUACGGGAGGCAGCAGUGAGGAAUAUUGGUCAAUGGAGGCAACUCUGAACCAGCCAUGCCGCGUGCAGGAUGACGGUCCUAUGGAUUGUAAACUGCUUUGACGGGAAGAAAUGUAAUUACGUGUAAUUAUUUGACGGUACCGUAAGAAUAGGAUCGGCUAACUCCGUGCCAGCCGCCGCCGUAAC